GAAGGAGAAGCAGUGGAUGUGAACUUCCUGUAAGACUAAAAUUCAGGAGUCAGAGGCGUUGUUUAUGCAACUUUCUGAUGCACUUAAAUUGUGGAGCCCUAUCUAGAGUGUCAAACUGCACUUCUUUUGAAUGGGCUCACUACCUUUGCUC
This is a long non-coding RNA of Microtus oregoni (creeping vole), 151 nucleotides long. RefSeq lists it as uncharacterized. NCBI's taxonomy places the organism in Eukaryota, Metazoa, Chordata, Mammalia, Rodentia, Cricetidae. The record is from RefSeq and is a predicted model, not a curated record. The transcript has 3 exons.